GCUGGGCGCAGUGGCGCGUGCCUGUAGUCCCAGCUACUCGGAAGGCUGAGGUGGGAGGAUCACUUCAGCCCAGGAGUUCUGGGAUAUCGUGCAUUAUGCCAAUUGGGUGUCCGCACUAAGUUUGGCAUCAAUAUGGUGACCUCCUGGGAAUGGGGGACUAUCAGGUUGCCUAAGGAGGGGUGAACCGGCCCAGGUGGGAAACAGAGCAAGUCAAAACUUUGUGCUGAUCCACAGUGGGACUGCACCUGUGAAUAGCCACUGCACUCCAGCCUGGGCAACAUAGCGAGACACCGUCUUUU
This 299-nucleotide signal recognition particle RNA is filed under the name Callithrix jacchus (white-tufted-ear marmoset). RNAcentral describes it as "Metazoan signal recognition particle RNA (ENSCJAG00000086540.1)". It matches the Rfam family "Metazoan signal recognition particle RNA". Rfam says of the family: The signal recognition particle (SRP) is a universally conserved ribonucleoprotein. Lineage: Eukaryota; Metazoa; Chordata; Mammalia; Primates; Cebidae. The record is from Rfam by way of RNAcentral.